RNAcentral lists this ribosomal RNA (253 nucleotides) under uncultured prokaryote. RNAcentral's name for it is "partial 16S ribosomal RNA". It matches the Rfam family "Bacterial small subunit ribosomal RNA", at positions 525 to 777 of the family's 1533-position model. The record is from RNAcentral.
ACGAAGGGUGCAAGCGUUACUCGGAAUUACUGGGCGUAAAGCGUGCGCAGGCGGUGAUGUAAGACAGAUGUGAAAUCCCCGGGCUUAACCUGGGAACUGCGUUUGAAACUGGAAGGCUUGAGUGUGGCAGAGGGGGGUGGAAUUCCACGUGUAGCAGUGAAAUGCGUAGAGAUGUGGAGGAACACCGAUGGCGAAGGCAGCCCCCUGGGCUAACACUGACGCUCAUGCACGAAAGCGUGGGGAGCAAACAGGA